GCUCCGGUAUUACCUGCCUGCCUGCCGCAUUGAGAGCGAGCAGCACAACUCUGCUCUGCUGGUGAACCCAAGAGCACGCAGACACACAGUCUGAAGGAAGAGCCUGUGUCAGAUCCCAGCCCAGCCUCUGACAAUCACAUCCUCCCGUCAGCUUCAUCAUCUCAGAAUGAGCUCUCCGCGGCCAGGAUAUUACAGAGCACAUGCACCAAUGAGGCGGUGCCUGCUUCCUGCUGUGAAGCGGGAUGAGCAGACCUUGCGACUCCAUGGUCUCCAGGACCCAGUGCACAUCCUCUGCUGACGUGGCAGGUCGCUGCUCCCUUGCUGCCACGUCUUCUUCAUGUCCCAAGGCCUGUCCUAACAGAGGCCAAAGGGGUUGGUCUUUUCUGAAAACUCACCUCUGCCCCUUCUUCUGUAGCCACACUAGAGGCUGCUCCGUGGGCCAUACAAAGGUGACUCUGGCCGUAAAGAGCAGAAAGUACAAGCCUACCUGUGGGCUGGCUUCCCCAGCUUUUCUGUGUAAGCGUGGCCCUUUGCAAGGCAGACUUGGCCCUGGGAUGUGA
RNAcentral lists this long non-coding RNA (560 nucleotides) under Mus spicilegus (steppe mouse). Its description in RNAcentral is "lncRNA (ENSMSIG00000026816.1)". The record is from RNAcentral. Lineage: Eukaryota; Metazoa; Chordata; Mammalia; Rodentia; Muridae.